This 257-nucleotide ribosomal RNA is filed under the name uncultured bacterium. RNAcentral describes it as "partial 16S ribosomal RNA". It matches the Rfam family "Bacterial small subunit ribosomal RNA", at positions 524 to 777 of the family's 1533-position model. The record is from RNAcentral.
UACGUAGGUGGCAAGCGUUAUCCGGAGUUACUGGGCGUAAAGGGCGUGUAGGCGGAGAUGUAAGUCUAUUCUGAAAGCUCCUGGCUAAACUGGGAGAGGCGAAUGGAGACUGCAUAUCUAGAGUGAGGAAGAGGAAAGUGGAAUUCCGCGUGUAGUGGUGAAAUGCGUAGAGAUGCGGAGGAACACCAGUGGCGAAAAGCGACUUUCUGGUCCUUAACUGACGCUGAGGCGCGAAAAGCAUGGGGGAGCGAACGGGG